RNAcentral lists this ribosomal RNA (468 nucleotides) under uncultured bacterium. Its description in RNAcentral is "bacterial SSU rRNA". It matches the Rfam family "Bacterial small subunit ribosomal RNA", at positions 355 to 825 of the family's 1533-position model. The record is from RNAcentral.
UGGGGAAUAUUGGACAAUGGGCGCAAGCCUGAUCCAGCCAUGCCGCGUGCAGGAUGACGGUCCUAUGGAUUGUAAACUGCUUUUUGUACAGGAAGAAACAGUUCUACGUGUAGAACCUUGACGGUACUGUAAGAAUAAGGAUCGGCUAACUCCGUGCCAGCAGCCGCGGUAAUACGGAGGAUCCAAGCGUUAUCCGGAAUCAUUGGGUUUAAAGGGUCCGUAGGCGGUUAGAUAAGUCAGUGGUGAAAGCCCAUCGCUCAACGGUGGAACGGCCAUUGAUACUGUCUGACUUGAAUUAUUAGGAAGUAACUAGAAUAUGUAGUGUAGCGGUGAAAUGCUUAGAGAUUACAUGGAAUACCAAUUGCGAAGGCAGGUUACUACUAAUGGAUUGACGCUGAUGGACGAAAGCGUGGGUAGCGAACAGGAUUAGAUACCCUUGUAGUCCCUGAGCGGGCUGGCAAGGCGCAU